GGGCCGUUAGCUUAACGGUUAAAGCCACCGGCUCAUAACCGGUUCAGUGGGGGUUCGAAUCCCUCACGGCCCA
Molecule: transfer RNA, 73 nt
Filed under: Ruminococcus callidus
Lineage: Bacteria; Bacillati; Bacillota; Clostridia; Eubacteriales; Oscillospiraceae
Also listed under: 9 other names
Description: tRNA-Ile
Rfam family: tRNA
About the family: Transfer RNA (tRNA) molecules are approximately 80 nucleotides in length. Their secondary structure includes four short double-helical elements and three loops (D, anti-codon, and T loops). Further hydrogen bonds mediate the characteristic L-shaped molecular structure. tRNAs have two regions of fundamental functional importance: the anti-codon, which is responsible for specific mRNA codon recognition, and the 3' end, to which the tRNAs corresponding amino acid is attached (by aminoacyl-tRNA synthetases). tRNAs cope with the degeneracy of the genetic code in two manners: having more than one tRNA (with a specific anti-codon) for a particular amino acid; and 'wobble' base-pairing, i.e. permitting non-standard base-pairing at the 3rd anti-codon position.
Source: RNAcentral